GUUCUCUCCUUUUUUUUUUUGGCAGCGCUGGAGAAGCAGGAGGGUUUCUUUGUGAUCUAUACACGCUGCCAGUGCCGAUUUGUUGGAUGGAAUUCAGGGAAGAUUCAACUAGACUGGACAUGCUACUCAGUAGGCAUUGGUUGAAAUACACUUGGUGCAUUGUUUUAGGGUUGGAGACGUUACGAUUUAUUUCUACAACUGUUGACAGUAGUCAUAUACAUUAUCAACAAAAAAUCCAACUUACCAAUUGAGAAUGGCCAUUCAGUAUUAUUUCUAUUGUAGAUUGUGAGCAACGAAUAUGGUCUGGCAGCAACAAAAAAAUCUUGAUAUUAGAAAUUCAUUGCUCACAGCUUAUGCCAACAGUUUUUUUUUUUGUACGACUAGCUGCUUUGAGUGACAACAAGUGUAGUGCCUUAUUCAGAUUUUUAGUAUGCUCCUUGAAUCAUAUUGUUCUAACUUCAAUUGACUUCUACUGAAUCCUUUUUACACAGGCAAGAGUAGUACAAGACGUAAGAACCACUUCAGGGCUUCCGGCACUAUCAUGGUCCCGAGAACCUGGACAAAUAUUUGCCAUGAAAUUAAAGAGAGCUGCGUGUGCUUAUUUAAAGUGGUUACCCGGAAAUACAUGUUAAUCCUGCAAGCUGCAAUUUCUAUUUGAUUACACAAAGAUAGGCAAAAAAAAAAAGGACGAGGAACUGCAUACAAUGGAAAUGGAACCUAAAGCAAGGCUACAUAGAAUGCUUACUACAAAGGUAGGGUGUCUGCUCAAUGCUCAUGGUGUUCACCAUCCUUUUCAGCUUCAUGGUGCUCAAUGCUUACUGAAAACUGGUGCUUGAUGCCUGAUCUAAUUUUUUUAUCAACUGGGUAUUGAUGUCUGCAGAUGUGACACCUACUGAUAUCUAUAAACAUUGAUAAGGACUUUGAGUUUUUGGAUACAGCUGCGUGCAAUUUUCAUUAUUUGUUACAUUCAGUGCAUUGUAAGGGAAAUUAUUAACUUUACAUUGUAAGCCUUCCCAGCACUUCAGAGCAGGCGGCAAGUCGAUGCACCGGGCGGAGCGGCGGGCGGGUGGCUCGCGCGAGGCGGCACGCUAGCGGAGUGGGUGUCGGCGGGCUGUGCUGUAGGUUAAUCUUACGAUUCUAUGGAAUCCCAGUUUGUACUAGCAAAGAUUUUAAUGAGGUAUCCCUACAAGUUCACCUAUCAGUUACAUUCAUGAACUGAAAAUUAGUAAUGUACUAAUGUGCAAUGAUUUAUCCUUCCCCCGUUACCAUAUGUAUCAUUGGUAAUUUGCUUUCCUGUUAUGUUUUUUUUUUGUUUGUAUACACAAGGAUUUAAUUCGACAUGUAUGCACACAUCAUGACAUCAAAACAGAGUUGACAGCCAAAAAUGUGUUCCUUUGUUCCAUUUCCUGAUCUGAACUUCAUACAUUGUGCACUGUUCAGAAGUUAAUUAAUUGUUUUAGAUAUUUACAAGGUAUCAUUCUACUGUGGCCAUCCUUUCAUCAUGCAUUCAAUCAAAUUGACAAAAAAAUGCGUUUGCAAAGUGCUAGGUGUUUGUUGCUUGGAACACAGGAUGUUUCACAUCUUCUGUCCAGUCAAAUGCAUUUCGGAACUAUUUCAGAGCUUCCUGUGUCAAGUGAUCUAUGGAUAGGAUAUACAAGCUACCUGGAUAAGAACUUGAAGGUGCCUUCUGUACUUAGUAGUGUUUAUUACAGAACCACAAGAAACUGCACAUGGGUUGGUGAGCUAUGGGUCCCUUAUUCGCUAUCUUUGGAGCGAAUUCAUUCUUCUGAAGAAUAGGUACGCCAUGUAAGCUCCUUAGUUCUCUCUGCUGACACGUAGCUGGAGAUUGUGCAUAUUAGAUUCUUAGAUCUUAUAUGUGUGUGAAAUAGAUGACACAUUUAGUUCUGCCACCAUUGUUGAAAAGGUAAACUGAUUAUAGUUCUGUAUAGUUUUUUUAGGUAGCUGUAGAUGUUUACUGCUUUUAUAUAAUGGUAGCCCCGUUAUAAAGUUGCCAGAUAUCAUAUUGCAUUGAUAUAAUGAAACAAUUCUCUUAUCAUAAGAUUACCUAAUAUCUGCUAAAUGUCCUGAAACAUCCUGGCAGUCAUCCAGCAGAGUACAUUGUGACAGAAUUGAAUGCCAAAUGUUUUCACUGCAGUUUUUCCCUAUUUUCCUAUCUAUUUUGGUGUUUUUGGAAGUCUGUUAUUCAGCUUCACCUAUUUCUUUUAUGUUUAUUGCGAGCUAAUGAUAUAUUUGUGCCUGUACAUUUCAGUUGUUUGAACGGGCAGUGCAGUGCUCUUUUCCAACCAUGUAAGAGGUGACAUAAUUCAACUCUAUGUGCAUUAAUGAUAGGCAUGCUAAUUGAAUUGUGCACAUUGGAGUGUGCUUUGGCUGCUUAGGAAUGUCACAAGUUAACAAAAAAAAAGUGUAUAAAAAAAGUGAGUGUUCCUCCCCCCUCCACUUCAUGUACCAAAUUCUAAACCUGAUCUGGUAGUGCUCACUGUGCUUUACAGGUAUGCUUUAAAAAUCCGCUUUUUAGUUCCUACAUUAAAUAUGAAACGCGAAACAAAAAACUGAUCUUUGUGGGGACCCAUGCUGCUACUGCUGAUUCAUGUUUUCUAGGAUUAUGUUCAGAAAGUUUCUUUUUGCAUAGCCACUACCUUUUGUUCAGAACUUGAAACAUAUUUGACACUACAUGCUUGCAAGAGUGCUAGAUUUAGACACAGGCAUACACAGAAAUACUGAUGCUCAGAAAGUUAAUUUCGCAUAGCCAGUAGCUUAUGUUCGGAACUUGAAACACAUUUGAGACUACAUGCUUGCAAGGGUGCUAGAUUUACAUGCUUGCAAGGGUGCUUGAUUGACACAGCCAUAUAUAGAAAUGCUGAUUUUGUUAGCGCCUUAAAGUGCACCACAUAAUAACCAUAUUAGUUCAGAGGCAGUAUUUAUUUCCAUUUGCAUCAAUUCAAAAUAAUAUUGCUUCUUCCAACGCCUUAUUUUUAGUUGAGCCCUGCUACUUCCGAUAUUAAUUCACUGCAACUCUCUAUUCCCAAAAGUACCUACAAUACUCUCUGCUAUUCAAUAGACAUGACUGCUGUGAUGAUAGGAUAUCCUUCCUGAUUGCUAUAACAAAAACAACUUGCUACAGGACAGAACAACGUCCACAGCCUCCUACCAUCAGUUAAAUCGUCAACUUCUUAAACAUCCUGAACUCAGGAAAUUUAUACAUUUUCCACAUGAAAAACAGUUGUUUUGAAUACUCCCUUACAAUUCUGUGUUUUGCUAACUUCCUUGACAACCCAACUUCAGGAACACCUCCGGCAUGAGGCUUUGCGCCCGUCAAAUGAAUGCAGUCUCCAGCACCUGAAGAACAUCCAAUGCGGCUAGCUAAUCCCUUAAUUUUCGUUGUUCUCUUAGUAUUGUAAAAUAUGUGAUGGACAAAACUACUCUGGAAGGAUUCUGUACUUCAUGCAUUGUAAAAUAUGUAAUGGAUAAAACUACUCUAGAAGGAUUCUGUACUUCAUGCUUAAUUUCUUAUGUGCUAUUCUCUUUGGAUUCUCUUUGCACAUAGCAUGUUGUCUGCCAUCGUUACCUGCUCCAUCUGUUAACCACGCUUCUAAUAACCAGGUUGAUGCCUAGAUUGUUCCACAAAGUGAUGGCCGUUUUCUAGGUCCGUUAAUCCCAUCCAGCUUCUUCCAAAUUUCAUAUUCCUCAGAUUAUAUUGUUUGCAUUCUACUGAAACUAGGACCACAUCCAAAAAUACAACUGUUGCAUGCCUGGCUCAACAAGACCACAAAACAUUAAGUUGACAAUAAUUCCGUUUCUUUUGAGAGCUAGCUGUACUAUAAUGGGAUAGCUAUUUAUUUAGGAUUGAAAUAACCUCAUAGUCUGCCAAGAAUUGCUCAGAUAAUGUGGUAGAUUAGUUUUCUUAUCUUUAUAGGUGGCUAAUUCAUAAGCCUAACUAGCAAUCUUUGGCGUUGGCUGUCUCUUAUUAGCUACUGUAAGUCUGGUUAGCUCCUCUCCCCGUUUACUUAUACUGACUAAAAAUUCAUGUACCCAGACACAUUUGGAUGGCCAAGUUCAGUUGCUUUCCGCAACAGUAAUAAUAUGAAUUAAGCUCA
This is a long non-coding RNA of Panicum virgatum (switchgrass), 4115 nucleotides long. RefSeq lists it as uncharacterized. The record is from RefSeq and is a predicted model, not a curated record. Lineage: Eukaryota; Viridiplantae; Streptophyta; Magnoliopsida; Poales; Poaceae. The transcript is spliced from 3 exons.